AUUGAACGCUGGCGGCAGGCCUAAAACAUUCAAGUCGAACGAGUGGCGGACGGGUGAGUAAUGUCUGGGAAACUGCCCGAUGGAGGGGGAUAACUACUGGACACGGUAGCUAAUACCGCAUACCAUCAGAUGUUCCCAGAUGGGAUUAGCUAGUAGGUGGGGUAAUGGCUCACCUAGGCGACGAUCCAUAGCUAGUCUGCGAGGAUGACCAGACACACUGGAACUGAGACACGGUCCAGACUCCUACGGGAGGCAGCAGUGGGGAAUAUUGCACAAUGGGCGAAAGCCUGAUGCAGCCAUGCCGCGUGUGUGAAGAAGGUCUUCGGGUUGUAAAGCACUUUCAGCGAGGAGGCGUUACUCGCAGAAGAAGCACCGGCUAACUCCGUGCCAGCAGCCGCGGUAAUAC
This 406-nucleotide ribosomal RNA is filed under the name uncultured bacterium. Its description in RNAcentral is "partial 16S ribosomal RNA". It matches the Rfam family "Bacterial small subunit ribosomal RNA", at positions 30 to 526 of the family's 1533-position model. The record is from RNAcentral.